Molecule: small nucleolar RNA, 129 nt
Organism: Sorex araneus (European shrew)
Lineage: Eukaryota; Metazoa; Chordata; Mammalia; Eulipotyphla; Soricidae
Source: Ensembl
GGCCACCUGGUGCUGAUGACAGGAUAUGUUCUUUAUACUAUUCUUUAUAGAAAGAGGAGGGACAGCAAACUUACUCCAUAUAUACCUCAGCCUCUUGGCUGGUCUGUGUUGUGAAUGGAGGUUACACAG